ACUACUGAUGGGACCAAGGCUGGAGCGUAGGCUACCUGGUGACAAGAGGCCCUUGCUAACCAAGCUCCUGAAUANNNNNNNNNNNNNNNNNNNNNNNNNAAAAAAAAGAAAGAAAGAAAGAAGCAUCCAGUAAACAUCUCUGGAAGGAGGGCAAGAGCUGGAUGAGGCUGAAAAUGGAUCUCUUGAUACCACUGAGAAUCUUUGAGCAGGGACCCCCUGGACAUGUGGGAACAAUGACAGGCAAAUGACUGUUGUGGCUGUUGCAGACGAGGGACACCCAGAGAAAAAUGAGACUGUAAUUUCACACAUGUAAAUGAAAAGUCCGUAUUUUAAAAAAAAAUCUAAAUAGGCCAAAUACAAACACAGAAUAAAGGGACUACUGAUGGGACCAAGGCUGGAGCGUAGGCUACCUGGUGACAGGAGGCCCUUGCUAACCAAGCUCCUGAAUACAGGACAAGGCCCAGGGGACUUCUCAGUCCCUGAGAUCACAGGGCCUGGUGGAAGAAAGUUCUCCUGAAGGGACAAGGACAAAGGGACAGGGGAAAAGGUGACCCAGCCUGGGAGUGUCCACACCGAAGCCCAUGAUGCCCUGAGCUCUCACUGGGCACAGGCCCCGUCCAUGUUUCUCUCCUCACAUCCCAUCCGGAACUGACACAGCACAGCACACAUGUGGAUUCUGGAAGGUUCUCAAUCCUUCCAUUUAUUUCCUCUUUCAAACAUAGGAAAUCUCUCAUUUAUUAUCCCCUCAACUCCUCAUGGCACCAAUUAGAAAAAGCAAAUUCAACAGGAAGUCAUUACUCAGGGCAGUCAAGUUAAGUAAGGAUGGAGAUGGUCCAGUGCCCCCCCUCCCCCCGCCCGGCUCCCACUUGCAAGAACUGGAAAGAGGAUCAUGGAAGAGAACACAGGUCAGGGUGAGGAGGCUCAUAGGAACACAGACCCUUUCAGAGGCAGCUGCAGAAACAGGAGUCAGGGGAUCUGGAUUCACAAAGUGGGACGUGAACAAAUCUUGUGUCCCUCAGUUCCCACAAGGCAGCUGUCUCACACUGGGAAUGAAAAUCAUCAGGAAACAGGCAGGUCAGUCAAGGAAGGGCUGACAUGCUCAACAGCCCCACAUGCUCCAAACCGCCCCCUCAAAGAUCCCCGUCACCCAGGGCACCCCCUCUGCCCCAACCCCCCUCCCAUCUAGGCCCUCCAGGGUCUCACCUCUAGGAUCCUUGGUAAGGGACACAUCGGAGCCCUGGUCACUGUCACUGCCUGGGGGACAGCAAAAGCAGGAUGGGGUCAGGACCCCCGAGAGAGAAGAUGACAGAAGGUGAGUGAACUCCACCCACGGCCUCCUGUCUGCACCACCAGGGCCUCAGGCAUCACAACCCUCCACACUGACCUGCAGCCUGAGUGUAGCUCCCUCCUUUUUCACCUGUGGGAAGAAGACAUCAUGUGAGAGACCAGGGAAAUGAUGGGUCAUGAGAUCUAGAGGAAACCCUAGAACCGGACCACAGAGACCUUUCCAGAACUUUGCCCAAAAAUCCAGGACAGGAUCAGG
Molecule: long non-coding RNA, 1543 nt
Filed under: Sus scrofa (pig)
Lineage: Eukaryota; Metazoa; Chordata; Mammalia; Artiodactyla; Suidae
Description: lncRNA (ENSSSCG00050057096.1)
Source: RNAcentral